UACGGGGGGGGCAAGCGUUGUUCGGAAUUACUGGGCGUAAAGGGCUCGUAGGCGGCCAACUAAGUCAGACGUGAAAUCCCUCGGCUUAACCUGGGAACUGCGUCGGAUACUGGAUGGCUUGAAUCCGGGAGAGGGAUGCAGAAUUCCAGGUGUAGCGGUGAAAUGCGUAGAUAUCUGGAGGAAUACCGGUGGCGAAGGCGGCAUCCUGGACCGGCAUUGACGCUGAGGAGCGAAAGCCAGGGGAGCAAACGGG
RNAcentral lists this ribosomal RNA (253 nucleotides) under uncultured bacterium. RNAcentral's name for it is "partial 16S ribosomal RNA". It matches the Rfam family "Bacterial small subunit ribosomal RNA", at positions 524 to 776 of the family's 1533-position model. The record is from RNAcentral.